CAGCCGCCGCGGGAAAACGAAGGGUGCAGGCGUUACUCGGAAUUACUGGGCGUAAAGCGUGCGUAGGUGGUGGUUUAAGUCCGUUGUGAAAGCCCUGGGCUCAACCUGGGAAUUGCAGUGGAUACUGGAUCACUAGAGUGUGGUAGAGGAUAGUGGAAUUUCCGGUGUAGCAGUGAAAUGCGUAGAGAUCGGAAGGAACAUCUGUGGCGAAGGCGACUAUCUGGGCCAACACUGACACUGAGGCACGAAAGCGUGGGGAGCAAACAGGAUUAGAUACCCGAGUAGUCCCUGUCUCUUAUAC
This 301-nucleotide ribosomal RNA is filed under the name uncultured bacterium. RNAcentral's name for it is "partial 16S ribosomal RNA". It matches the Rfam family "Bacterial small subunit ribosomal RNA", at positions 509 to 807 of the family's 1533-position model. The record is from RNAcentral.